RNAcentral lists this microRNA (24 nucleotides) under Ananas comosus (pineapple). Its description in RNAcentral is "microRNA s1395_c057b". The record is from RNAcentral. Lineage: Eukaryota; Viridiplantae; Streptophyta; Magnoliopsida; Poales; Bromeliaceae.
AUAUUUGACUAGAUAGCUUAAUAG